RNAcentral lists this long non-coding RNA (1723 nucleotides) under Triticum aestivum (bread wheat). RNAcentral's name for it is "long non-coding RNA (TAES_LNC025817)". The record is from RNAcentral. Lineage: Eukaryota; Viridiplantae; Streptophyta; Magnoliopsida; Poales; Poaceae.
ACAUGCAUCAUACUUGGUUGUGCAUCAUGCCAUGUUCAUGUGUUGGUUGUUUACUAUGUUGUGUGCUUCUUUUCGGUGUUGCUUCUUCGGGUUGGUUCCGAUAACGUCGCGUUUGUGAGGAUUCGUUCGACUUCGUCCGCUUGCCUUCUUCAUGGACUCGUUCUUCUUCCUUGCGGGAUUUCAGGCAAGAUGAUAAUACCCUCAAAAUCACUUCUAUCUUUUCUUGCAUAGUUGCUUGCUCUAUUGCUAUGCCGCGAUACCUACCACUUGCUAUAUCAUGCCUCCCAUAUUGCCAUGUCAAGCCUCUAACCCACCUUACCUAGCAAACCGUUGUUUGGCUAUGUUACCGCUUUGCUCAACCCCUCUUAUAGCGUUGCUAGUUGCAGGUGAAGUUGGAGUUUGUUCCAUGUUUAGAACAUGGAUAUUGUUGGGAUAUCACUAUAUAUAUUUUGUUUAAUUAAUGCAUCUAUAUACUUGGUAAAGGGUGGAAGGCUCGGCCUUAUGCCUGGUGUUUUGUUACACUCUUGCCGCCCUAGUUUCCGUCAUACCGGUGUUAUGUUCCUUGAUUUUUGCGUUCCUUACACGGUUGGGUGUUAUGGGGACCCCUUGACAGUUUGCUUUGAAUAAAACUCCUCCAGCAAGUCCCAACCUUGGUUUUACCAUUUACCUCACCACCACCUACUUUUCCCUUGGGAGUCGCUCUCUCGAGGGUCAUUUUUAUUUUAAGCCCCCCCGGGCCAGUGCUUGUGUAAGUGUUGGUCCGAGCUAGAGUCCUUUGCAACGCCACCUCGGGGAAACUUGAGGGUUGGUUUUAUUUGUACGGAGCGCUCAUCCGGUGUUGCCCUGAGAAUGAGAUAUGUGCAGCUCCUAUUGGGAUGUCGGUGCAUCGGGCGGUCUUGCUGGUCUUGUUUUACCAUUGUCGAAAUGUUUUGUAACCAGGAUUCCGAGCCUGAUCGGGUCUUCCUGGGAGAAGGAAUAUCCUUCGUUGACUGUGAGAGCUUGUGAUGGGCUAAGUUGGGACACCCCUGCAGGGUUUUGAACUUUCGAAAGCCGUGCCCGCGGUUAUGGGCAGAUGGGAAUUUGUUAAUAUCCGGUUGUAGAGAACUUGAAACUCGACUUAAUUAAAAUGCAUCAACCGCGUGUGUAGCCGUGAUGGUCUCUUUCCGGCGGAUUCCGGGAAGUGAACACGGCGUUGGAGUUAUGCUUGAACAUAAGUAGUUUCAGGAUCACUUCUUGAUCACUUCUAGUUCACGACCGUGCUUUGCCUCCUCUUCUCGCUCUCAUUUGCGUAAGUUAGCCACCAUAUAUGCUAGUGCUUGCUGCAGCUCCACCUCAUACCUUUUUCCCUACCCAUAAGCUUAAAUAGUCUUGAUCGCGAGGGUGUGAGAUUGCUGAGUCCCCGUGACUCACAUAUUACUUCCAAAACCAGUUGCAGGUGCCGUUGAUACCAGUGCAGAUGACGCAACCCAGCUCAAGUGGGAGCUCGAUGAAGAUCUUGUUCGUUGUGUCAUUUCGUUUGCAGUUGAUUAGUAGUGGAGCCCAGUCGGGGCGAUCGGGGAUCUUUUGCAUUAUGGGUAGUAUUCUUUUAUUUUGGUUCCAUAGUCGGACCUUGUUUGUAUCUGGUUGAUGUAAUGAUUUAUUCAUGUAUUGUGUGAAGUGGCGAUUGUAAGCCAACUCUGUACCUCUUUCUUAUUCAGUACAUGGGAUGUGUAAAGAUUACCCC